This 80-nucleotide small RNA is filed under the name Flavobacterium sp. 245. RNAcentral describes it as "Flavo-1 RNA". It matches the Rfam family "Flavo-1 RNA". Lineage: Bacteria; Pseudomonadati; Bacteroidota; Flavobacteriia; Flavobacteriales; Flavobacteriaceae. The record is from RNAcentral.
CCCUAGCCCUGAUGGGAGGGAAAAUCCUUUUAUUUUUUUCUUUAAAAAAUAAAAGAUUGGAACGGAUAGCUGGAAAUUGC